GACGAACGCUGGCGGCGUGCCUAACACAUGCAAGUCGAACGGAAAGACCCUGCUUUUGUGCGCUCCUCGAGUUGCGGCCGGGGGAGUAACACGUGAGUACCCUGCCCUUGCCUUUGGGAUAACUUCAGGACACUGGGUCUCAUACCGCAUAGGAUCUCCUGCUUCUUGGUGGGGCUUGGAUAGUUUCGGCGGUUGGUGAUGGACUCGCCGCUUAUCAGCUUGUUGGGUGGGUAGUGGCUUACCAAGGCCUUGACCCGUUGCCGGCCUGAGCGGGGGACCGGACACAUUGGACCUGAGAUGCGGCCCAGACUCCUAUGGGACGCAGCGGUGGAGAGUAUUGCACAGUGGGCGGAAGGAUGAUGUAGCACCGCCGCGUGCGGGAUGAGGGCAAUGGGGUUGGAAACCGCUUCCGUCUGUGCCGAAGCGUGAGUGACGGUAACGGGUAAAGAAGCACCGGCUAACUACGUG
RNAcentral lists this ribosomal RNA (468 nucleotides) under uncultured bacterium. RNAcentral's name for it is "partial 16S ribosomal RNA". It matches the Rfam family "Bacterial small subunit ribosomal RNA", at positions 28 to 507 of the family's 1533-position model. The record is from RNAcentral.